UUCGGGGACAGGGAGACAGGUGGUGGCAUGGUUGUCGUCAGCUCGUGUCGUGAGAUGUGGGUUAAGUCCCGCAACGAGCGCAACCCCUACGUUUAGUUGCUAACGCGUGAAGGCGAGCACUCUAGACGAACUGCCGUUGACAAAACGGAGGAAGGUGGGGAUGACGUCAAAUCAUCAUGCCCUUAUGUUCUGGGCUACACACGUGCUACAAUGGCCGGUACAGACGGACGCAAAGCCGCGAGGUGGAGCAAAUCCUAAAAAGCCGGUCUCAGUUCGGAUUGCAGGCUGCAAUUCGCCUGCAUGAAGUCGGAAUCGCUAGUAAUCGCAGGUCAGCAUACUCGCGGUCGAAUACGUUCCCGGGCCUU
RNAcentral lists this ribosomal RNA (365 nucleotides) under uncultured Pelotomaculum sp. RNAcentral describes it as "bacterial SSU rRNA". It matches the Rfam family "Bacterial small subunit ribosomal RNA", at positions 1019 to 1382 of the family's 1533-position model. The record is from RNAcentral. Lineage: Bacteria; Bacillati; Bacillota; Clostridia; Eubacteriales; Desulfotomaculaceae.